GACGAAGGGAGCUAGCGUUGUUCGGAAUCACUGGGCGUAAAGCGCACGUAGGCGGAUGUGUCAGUCAGGGGUGAAAUCCCGGAGCUCAACUUCGGAACUGCCCUUGAUACAGCACGUCUUGAGUCCGGAAGAGGUGGGUGGAAUUCCUAGUGUAGAGGUGAAAUUCGUAGAUAUUAGGAAGAACACCGGUGGCGAAGGCGGCCCACUGGUCCGGUACUGACGCUGAGGUGCGAAAGCGUGGGGAGCAAACAGG
RNAcentral lists this ribosomal RNA (253 nucleotides) under uncultured bacterium. Its description in RNAcentral is "partial 16S ribosomal RNA". It matches the Rfam family "Bacterial small subunit ribosomal RNA", at positions 524 to 776 of the family's 1533-position model. The record is from RNAcentral.